CUGCGCAAUGGCGGGCGCCCCUCCCCCAGCCUCGCUGCCGCCUUGCAGUUUGAUCUCAGACUGCUGUGCUAGCAAUCAGCGAGACUCCGUGGGCGUAGGACCCUCCGAGCCAGGUGUGGGAUAUAAUCUCGUGGUGCGCCGUUUUUUUAAGCCCGUCGGAAAAGCGCAGUAUUCGGGUGGGAGUGACCCGAUUUUCCAGGUGCCGUUCGUCACCCCUUUCUUUGACUAGGAAUGGGAACUCCCUGACCCCUUGUGCUUCCCGAGUGAGGCAAUGCCUCACCCUGCUUCAGCUCGCGCACGGUGUGCGCACCUACUGACCUGCGCCCACUGUCUGGCACUCCCUAGUGAGAUGAACCCGGUACCUCAGAUGGAAAUGCAGAAAUCACCCGUCUUCUGCGUCGCUCACGCUGGGAGCUGUAGACCGGAGCUGUUCCUAUUCGGCCAUCUUGGCUCCUCCAUUCUGCUUUUAAGUUCCUGUCAUCUCCAUUAAGAAUCAGCUUAUUGGCCGGGCGCAGUGGCUCACGCCUGUAAUCCCAGCACUUACUUUGGGAGGCUGAGGCGGGUGGAUCACGAGGUCAGGAGAUCGAGACCAUCCUGUCUAACAAGGAAUCCUUUCUGGCACUCAAGAGUUUUCAAUUCAAUCCUGAUGAAUGAAUCAUUAUUUGAUACCAGCCUAAGUGAAGACUCUGCCUGGUGACUUUUGCAAGGUGGUUUCUGGCUGCAACAUGGGAAGAUUUGGGAUCAGUGAGAUGGAAGAGAUUUUUCUGGCUACUAGCGUUCCUAAGAAAGAGCUUUAGUGUUUAUCCAGCUAUUGGUAUGCAGACAACUAUACCCUUAUGAGAAACACUAGCAGAGAAGAAGAGUUCUUGACUGGGUCUGGGCCAUGAAACUGACCAGAUAAAAGUGGGAGAAGAAGAGAUGUUGAAGGAGGAGUUUGCUGUUUUCUCAGUCUCCUGAGAAAUUCCAGGUUUGGAUGCUUCCUAAGGCCAUUCCCACUCUCCUCUAUCUAAACCAGAGAGAACGAUUGCUUGUCCUUAUCACAUUAUCCUUGCUUUCACUGUAAAUGAUGAUAAAUAAUAAUCUCUACACUUGCAUUUGCAUACAGCACUGCGUGCUUUUUCAAAGAACACUCAAGUCUGUUCUCACAUUUGAUUCUCACACCAGGCUUGGAGAUAUUUGAGGCAUCUCCUCCCCCCAAACUCAGUUGGACAGAUCAGAAAAAUGAGGUCCAGCAAACUGAAAUGACUUGCUCCAGAACUCACAGACAAUUAAUGACUAGAACCCAGGUCUUCUAACUUCCUACCAGUUAUUGUGAGGAGAGCCCAUAAAGGAGAAAAGGACAAGGGAUGAUCUAUGGAACAUUCAAACUCCUGUCUCUAGUUGCCUUUUUCUGGUUGUUUCUUGGAUAUCACGCACUCUCAUCAGCAGCCUUCCUACUCUUACAGAUUAUCAACACCUGUCCCAAAAUCCUGGGGCCAGCCAUGGUGCUUGGGCUUUUUUUCCCCACAUCUAACCAUUCCGCAGCAUAUAACAAAUCCUUGACAAAUUUCCAGUGGAAAAAAAUAGCAGAAACCAUACACCCUCCAUCUGUGAAUUGAUGUGGCCAAGAACAGGCUUAUUUCAAAGGGUGCACCAUAGAAUAGUCAUAAGACUCAACCCCUCCAAGACUAGCUGGUGCUUAUCCCGCCCAUAGGCAGUUAAAAGGACUUUAUUUGCAUCUUAUUCUUUCCAACAGAAAGGCAAACAUUAUUAUUACAAUUCAGUAAAUUUCCAUAAGGAACCCCAUUGAUACAUGUUAUAUAUUUUGGGUUCUUUUGUUUCAUGCUGAGCAUACCAACAUUAUAUCAAUAUUAUAUUUAUGUAGCAUUCUCCCAUAUUCAUAGAAAUAGAGAACUCAUCAGCCUUUAAAAAGAACUCAAAUGCACACAAAAUUUCACCCUCUAGAAAAGCAUCAAUGAAAAUGAUUUUGCAAAUAUAUAUACUUUUCAAUAUGUAAGUAUCUACAAAAAAAUUGAUAAUAAUUAAAUACCUGUAAAGUGCCAUGCACUUUACCUGUAUAUCUCAUUUAAUUCUCACAACAACCCUGUGAAGUAAGAAUUACUACGCCCAUUUUAUAGAUGAACUAACUAGGAGUCAAAGACAUUGAGCCACUUGCCACACAUUUACAGCACGGAGCUACAAAGAUCUGGGACUUGAAUCCAGGUUUUCUAACUCCAGAGCCAAAGCUUUUCUUAAUAUGCCACAGGAGCAAGCACAGGAGCUUGCUCCAAAAGUCAAGUUAAUUUUUAGGAAAGAAUUAGUUAAGCAAAUAUUCAUGAAUUAGAGAAUGUCUUUAAUUUCAGAUCCAAAUCACUUGGUCACUUAAAAAUAAAAGACAAUAAAUCAUAAGGGAUUCUACUUGACUUAUUAUCUAAAGUGAUUAAUAAGAAUGACAUUUCCCCACCAACCCCAAAUGAAAAAAUCAAUUUGGGAAGUUUCCCAAUAAUUUAAACUUGAAACACUAAUCUGAAAAAGAAAAUCUAUAUAUCAAAAGUCUUCAUAGUAUGGCACAAAUAAAACAGAAUCUUAAUUUCCAAUUUCUAUUAAACUGAUUUUUCUUUUAAACUGGAGCCAGAAAGCCAAAAAGCCUUCAAAUCAAUUGAGCCUCUUGCAUUUUAUUUAAGAAGUUUCAUUUUUCAAACCAAAGCUGGGAAGACAAAACAAGCUUAUUUAAUUCACACCCCAGAAUUGUAAUUUCUCUGUUCAAGCCAAUGUCUAAGUGCCUGUAUUAAGGGCUUCCCACUGACCAUAAUGUGUUAAUUCAUCAUUGCAUACAAUUUUCCUUUGUACUUUUAAGCUACUCUUCAUUUUCCCCUUGGUUAGGGUUGCCUAUACAACAGAGGACACCCAGUAAAACAUAAAUUUCAGAUAAACAACAAAUAGUCUUUACAUAAGCAUGCCCCCUGCAAUAAUUGAGACAUACUUAUACCCCCAAAAUUAUUUAUCUGAAAUUCACAUUUAACUAGACAUCCUGUAUUUUUAUUUGCUAAAUCUGGCAACCCUAUUCUUGAUCCAUUGUGGGUAUUCCCAGGACUUCACCUCUAAACUAUUAUAUUUUUCAAAUACAUUAUUUGUAUGUUUUGUGGUGUGUAUGUGUGUGUGUGCGCGCGCGCGUGCCUCUCAGAAUGGAGGUUCUGGAGCAUCUCUCACUCUUGAGACCACAGCCAUCUAUCACUUUGGUUAUCAGUGUGUCCUCUAUCGUAUAUAUAAUUAUGUAUUAUGUUAUAUAUAUAUACAUAAUUUAGUGUGAGACUAGCCAGGACCAUUUUGAAAACGAAAAGUCAGUGGUGGGAGGUGGGAAGGAGUGUGUUGGGAGAAACUUUACCCACCACGUAUUAAAAGGUAUUAUAAAUCUAUACUGAUUAAAACAGUUUGGUUCUAGUAUGUGAGUAGAUAAAUUAACACCACAGAAUAGAGAUUACCCAAUUCUUUACCCCAAAAUAAGUUCUAGAAAUAUAAAGGAGUCAAAUGGAAAAUGCAAUUGUAAAGACACCAAGAGAAAGCAUGGAAUAAUUAUAUGUAGUCUUGAAGUGAAAAUGAUUUUUCUAAGGAAGAUGCAAAAUCCAGGAAGUAAAAAGAAAAAUUUCAUAAAUCUAGCUACAUAUAAUUUUCAAAACUUUUUUCAUGUAGAAAAUAUAAUAAAUGCAGUCAAAAAGCAAUUUAGGGGAACAUCUUCAAUUUAUCUCACUCAGGGUGGACUAAGUUAUUUAAUAUGUAAAAAUCUCUUGCAAAUCAAUAGAAAAAAAGCAAAAUCAUGAAUAGAAAAAUGAGUAAAGGCUAUAAAUGGACAUUUCACUGAAAAACAGCCAUACAAGUUAAUAAACACACAGAAAAAGAGGCUUAACCUCACUGAUGAUUAAAGCAAUGCAAAUUAAAGCAAUAAUGAAACAUCAUUUCCCUUCAUUAUAUUGAAAAAGAUUAAAAGCUAGAUAAUGUGUAGUAUUGAUGGGGAUAGAGAGAUGGGCAUUUCAUAACUUGUAGAUGAGAUUAUAAAUUGGUGCAACCUCUUUGGAGGGCACGAUUUUGCAGUAUCUUUUAAUAUGAAAAAUGUAUUUAUCCUUGACUAAGUAAUUCCCAUUCUAGAAAUGUAUAUUAUGAAAAUACUUGCACAGUAUGCAAAUGUAUACAAGUAUAAGGGUGUCCAUUGCAGUAUUAUUUGUGUUAAUGAAAAAUGGGACUAAGGCAAAUGUCUAUUAUAAGAGAUAGGAUAAAAAAUUUAGUGCAUAUUCAUAUAUUGAAAUAAUAUUGUCAAUUAAAAAAUAAAACUGAUCCACAUGUGUGGAAAUAAAAUUAUUUCCCAAUUUAAUUUGUUGAAAUUUUUAAAAGACUCACAAUGGUGUGCAGGUGUAUGCCCUUUUUUAAUAAGGAAAGAUGCAUAUAUGUACAUAUGUUUGUAUGUGCAGAAGUAGACUGGCUUUUUUAUAUC
Long non-coding RNA from Pan troglodytes (chimpanzee), 4465 nucleotides. RefSeq lists it as uncharacterized. Lineage: Eukaryota; Metazoa; Chordata; Mammalia; Primates; Hominidae. The transcript has 5 exons. The record is from RefSeq and is a predicted model, not a curated record.